RNAcentral lists this long non-coding RNA (468 nucleotides) under Lathyrus oleraceus (garden pea). RNAcentral's name for it is "Pisum sativum (pea) long non-coding RNA (PSAT_LNC028782)". The record is from RNAcentral. Lineage: Eukaryota; Viridiplantae; Streptophyta; Magnoliopsida; Fabales; Fabaceae.
UUGGAAGUUUUGAACUUGAUACCGUUGUACGCGUCCUCUUGAAGGAAUGACGUUGGCUUUGUUCGUAGGAACUGUUGUCUUGCGUAGAAACGAACCGAAGUCUAUUCCAAAAGCGAGUUGAGCUUGUCGAGAUGUUAUGGCAUUGUGUUUGGACUCUUGCCAGAACCGUGCGAUAGAGUCGGCGAUGGUGGUGACAUUGACGGAAGUUCGGCGGUGUUGACACGGUCGGAGGGAGCUCGUCGAAUGGGAUUCGUGUCAACAAAGCUUAUUGUGGAGAGUUGGCAAUAACGACGAUGGCUGGAGUUGAGGCGGAGAAGAGGACGUGAAUUGUUGAAGAUGGAAAAAGGUGAUGGUGGAUGUUGUGGUGACAGAGAGUAGUGUUUCGUCGGUGGUGUGAAGUGAGGCGAACGGAGAUCUGUGAUAAUGGAGGGUUCGGUGGUCGGAGUUGUUGUAGCGGUUUCAUCGUCG